AGGCUUGUAGCUCAGGUGGUUAGAGCGCACCCCUGAUAAGGGUGAGGUCGGCGGUUCAAGUCCACUCAGGCCUACCA
RNAcentral lists this transfer RNA (77 nucleotides) under Mycobacterium tuberculosis. Its description in RNAcentral is "tRNA-Ile". It matches the Rfam family "tRNA". From Rfam's summary of the family: Transfer RNA (tRNA) molecules are approximately 80 nucleotides in length. Their secondary structure includes four short double-helical elements and three loops (D, anti-codon, and T loops). Further hydrogen bonds mediate the characteristic L-shaped molecular structure. tRNAs have two regions of fundamental functional importance: the anti-codon, which is responsible for specific mRNA codon recognition, and the 3' end, to which the tRNAs corresponding amino acid is attached (by aminoacyl-tRNA synthetases). tRNAs cope with the degeneracy of the genetic code in two manners: having more than one tRNA (with a specific anti-codon) for a particular amino acid; and 'wobble' base-pairing, i.e. permitting non-standard base-pairing at the 3rd anti-codon position. The record is from RNAcentral. RNAcentral also lists the same sequence under 1 other name. Lineage: Bacteria; Bacillati; Actinomycetota; Actinomycetes; Mycobacteriales; Mycobacteriaceae.